Micropterus salmoides (largemouth bass) is the source of this 708-nucleotide long non-coding RNA. RefSeq lists it as uncharacterized. The record is from RefSeq and is a predicted model, not a curated record. NCBI's taxonomy places the organism in Eukaryota, Metazoa, Chordata, Actinopteri, Centrarchiformes, Centrarchidae. The transcript is spliced from 4 exons.
GUUACCUUCUGUGCGUGGAUUCCCCAGUGUUACAGUAUCUUGGUACGUGUUGUCCUGUGUAGCCUGCUCUGCUCAUUGUUCUCUUCCGGUUUCUAUGGUUUUUGGUUUCUUUUGGAUUCCUUGUUUUUGGACUUGUUAUCAGCCGCUCCGCCUGGAAGACUUCUACAUGGACUCCUCUGAAUCAGAAGUUGAAAUUCUCUCCGUUCUCCAGUCAGGUGCAACGGCCUCAAUGCAUUCAAAUAUUCCUCAUGAUUGAACUGCAGACCAGGGAGGCUACUUUUCAGCUAUGACCAACAGGCGUUUGCACAAAAGUUUUACACUGUGGGAAAGCUGUUGGCCUGGUCCAUUAUCCAAAAUGGACCAGGAAUCCGAUGCCUGGGAAAACCCAUUUCUGCUCAUGUGUGGCCAGAAGCCAGAAAUGACCUUUUGAUCUGGAUAUUUUCCAGGAAGAGGAAUUGGAGAUUAAGCUUGAAAAGGUUGAGAUGCAGCACCACUGAGGAGUUAGGAGCUCAAAUGCACAUUGGGAGACUGGAUGGCUGAUAGUGGUGUGCCAAACAUUUACACAGCCUCUGUCAGGGAACACAAAGGGAUGGGGUUUUACAAAGUAGUCUACUAUAUUCACGGCUUAGAGUCCUCCGGCGCUGUGCCGGAAUUCCGGGGAGAGGCAUUUUUGUAUACGACAAUAUAUAAAUAUGUCUGUGGAAAAUA